AUUGAAGGAUCUAAUAUUUGCAUUCAUGUGUAAUGGAUAUAUACAAUUUGGUCUACUCGUGCAUGAUGCAUUCAUCUCAGUGAUGGUAGUCGGAAUUUGAUGGCCGGUUCGGAUAGGAAUGACGGGAUGCAAAUGUGUAUUGCGGGCCGGCCAACAAUCUUUUUUUUUUGCCAAGUUAAAUCAUUUUUGACAGUCUAGACGCUCCAAUUGACAUAUUCAAUUAGACCUCAUGCAAAUGAAUUGAUGCAGUAUUAAGCUUUUGUUCAAAGAAUCUUACGCUUUAUGUAUUGCACUGCCGGUCUGCAGUCAAACUCCUGCUCCCCUCAGGCAUAGAUAUUGUCCAAAUCAUUUGCUUGGAGCUUAGUAGUAGGCUUUGACACACUUAUGUUUAUUAAGAUGAUUUUGGUACGUGCUUUGCUCUCGAUGAGACCAUUUUUUCCGGUAGCAAUGCACACGCAGCCCCGAGCCCAAGAUGGUAAGCUGCAGCAUCCUUGGCCGAUGGCUCAUUACGACCUCACCAAAGGCGAAGAUGAGACGGCUUGCCACAUCAUCAUAGGCAAAGGAGAGGUGGGGCUUAAAGGAUUGGUGUGGGGUGCGGGAGGCAAUGUUUUAAAUAGCGGCCGAACGCUAUUGCGGCCGCAAUAGCGGUAGCGCAGGCCACCCGCUACAAGUCGAAAGCUGCGCUGGGUAAUAGAGUGAUUGGCACGAUGCGGCCGAUAUAUGGGCUGUCAGACCGCAAUAGCGGCCCUUUGUGUAGCGCCAGUUGCGGGCAUAGCGGAAAGCUUAAAAAAUUAGACCACCAAUCCUCUUAUCCGGUUAUCCCAUCCCCUUCUCCUGGCGAUGGGCGGCUGGCACUUCCCUGGCGGCGGCGCGCGGCUAACGCCGGUGGCCGGAUGGAGAGGCAAAUCCAGGCUCACCGUCACCGGAUGCCGCCGCUCCCCUAGCCCCAUCUUCCCCUGCUGGUCUUUGAGGGAGCAGCCAGCACAACGGCCACCUCGUCGCUCUUGCUCGACGACUUUCCCUGUUGGACGAUUGGCCGGUGCGGGACAACACGGCAAGCCGGCGGGCAGUACCUCGCUGGUCCCUGUUCGACGCCCUACUAGUCGACGUCCCAAUGCAGCCCGUCCGCACCUCCUCGCUUGACGACUACUUCUUGGUAAUUCAGUCAACUAUCUGCACAUGUAAUUAAGAAGACCAAGAAGUGUACAUGGAUCUGAAUGGAGAAGAGGAUGAGGAUUGCGAAUGACUUGUGCAUCUUCCAUGAUCAGAACCGGAUCUGUUUAUUUUUGCGUGAUGGUCGUGGUCUCACUUGUAUGGUUGCAUCGUCCAUGGUCAGAACUGGAUCUGUUUAUUUUUGCAUGAUGGUCGUGGUCCGACUUGUAUGGUUGGUUGGUAGUCUUUGUUUGCAUGGUUACAUGGUUGAAUAUUGUACAAUGGACUAAUUGUAGUGUAUAUGUGUUGUGUCAUACUGAUAGUUUUUGUUUGCAUGGUUGAAUAUUGUCCAAAUGGACUAGUUACAGUCUAUAUGCUUAUAUAAAUGAUGAUUAUUCAA
Molecule: long non-coding RNA, 1552 nt
Organism: Aegilops tauschii subsp. strangulata
Lineage: Eukaryota; Viridiplantae; Streptophyta; Magnoliopsida; Poales; Poaceae
Source: RefSeq, a predicted model, not a curated record